Molecule: non-coding RNA, 84 nt
Organism: Nematostella vectensis (starlet sea anemone)
Lineage: Eukaryota; Metazoa; Cnidaria; Anthozoa; Actiniaria; Edwardsiidae
Source: Rfam
GCCAGGAUGGCCGAGCGGUCUAAGGCGCUGCUUUCAGGUCGCAAUCUGGUUCUCCAGGCGUGGGUUAGAUUCCCACUCCAGACA